This 199-nucleotide long non-coding RNA is filed under the name Elaeis guineensis (African oil palm). RNAcentral's name for it is "long non-coding RNA (EGUI_LNC024297)". Lineage: Eukaryota; Viridiplantae; Streptophyta; Magnoliopsida; Arecales; Arecaceae. The record is from RNAcentral.
CUGGAGAAGCUCGGUCAUUGACGAAGUCCGGAAGAAAUUCGGAAUAGAGAUCCGACUGGUGGAGCCCAUCCAUUGUAAGAGUUCGUCUGUGAUCCAUCCACUGUAGAAGUUCGGAUGGAGUCCGACUCUGGUAGGAGCUCGGAUGAAGUCCGCUUGCAAUAGAAGUUCGGGGUAGAGAUCCGAUUCUUGCAGGAGCCCG